AUGCAUGUCCUGAUUCCGCCACUAGAGGUCACUGUCCCACCACAAUCUCCCCACGCCGAGUUCCACCUCCCUUCCCUCUUAACUCAAAUUAGCACGGUAUUAAUUAACACUGUAGUCUAUCAACCGGCGUUCCUCGGCACACUGCAAAGGCAGGGUUUGUGUAGAACAAAGAAAACAACAACAAACACUAACGUUCAUUUUAUUUUCCAAGGGCCACCAAACAAAUCCUUCGUCAUCCCUCACAAACCGGAAGGCGGACGUCCAAGAAUCAGACAUCUGGAGAUAAUGAUACGGCAUGACAAUCACACAAAAAAGGUCUCCUACAGCUACCUGCUUCUCAUCUGCUCCAGUCUCAUGAAUUUUAUCUUCACAUUCUUCCCAACCCAUGAUAUCAAAUUCCUUCCCCACUCCACCCUCUUAAAUGUGUAAGGUUUCAAUCCAUCAUCUGGCUACUGUUUGGAUGUGUUGGUAUAGGUUUCUUUCAGAAUGGCUGUUUUGAAACCAAAGAGGACAGUAUCCAACACGGUAUCCAUCACGGUAUCCAACAGUAUCCAUCACAAUCUGAAUCCUCCCUCAUCUCUUGCCAAAAACUCAGGCAGUGUCAAUUUGUAAAAUACUGAAAGAGUGGCAAUCAGAGCAAGAGGAUAGUACCAUUAUCAGCAGAUGCUGCAAAGAAGAAGAAGAAGAAGAAGAAGAAGAAGAAGAAGAAGAAGAAGAAGAAGAAGCUGUAAACAUUUUAUUUUAUGCCGACCCCUUUUGAAUAACUUGUUUGACUUGGCACUAGUUGUUUUUGCUCCCAUGGCAAAACAACAGUAGCCACAAGAACAGAGAAGCAGGACUUGGUAAAGGCUUCAGGCUGCUCUUGGGAAAGGACAAGCCGUAAACCAGCUGAAGAGCUGCAAGGAUUAUCCUCAUUGGGGGAUAGAGAAGACAUGCAGAGAACUCCUGGAUUCCCUGUUGCAAUAUUUUUCUCUUGUCUAUGCAGACCAUGGCUUGUUUUAACUGCCUGUCAUGCCUAACCAUCACAAUACAAUGACCACUCUGUUUCGUUUAUUAAUUUUUCUCCCUUUCUCUCUCUUCUCCGGAUUGGGUAUACAUUGUUUUUGAGAUGCAGAUUCAGAUGCACGGGGAUUCAGAGUGCUCUUAGACAUGUCACUGCCACUGGAUUUUCAGCUGGACUCUUUUGCCAAAUUAGCUGCUGUACUAGAACUUAGAAGACCUGAGUUCAAAUUCCCACUUGGCCAUGGAAACUCAUGGGGUGGGUGUCGAACUGUUAAAACCACUGCUUAAAUAACUCACAUAUCUUGGAAACUGUUAUAAGCCAGCUCCAAAUUGAUAGUACAUAAUAUAAUCAUAUAGAGUGGACAACCACAACAAGCUGUCUCACAAGUGUGGAAGUCAUGUAGCUGCUAGAGAGCACAUUUUUGUAGCCACCAGGCUCCUCCCAUCUGCCCUAGAUGGCCCCUUAAUUGAAAAGAAGAAGAAGAAGAAGAAGAAGAAGAAGAAGAAGAAGAAGAAGAAGAAGCUGCACCUUGUUUUGCCCCUCCCCCAGGAGUUCUAAUUUGAUGGAAGCAUGUUUAAUAUAACUUAAGCAUGAAUGGGUUCAUGGGUUUUUAAGGGUUGUUCAUUCAGAAUUGCUAUUUUGUGUGGGCAUUCACAACUUGCUUGACUGUCAACUAUCGUAUUCUGGAACAAUUAUUGUAUUUCAUGACUGUAUUCUGGAACAACAACCCAUGAACUUAUCUAGGCUUCUUAUUUGUUUACAAAUAAAAGGACAGUCAUCACAUAUUCA
Molecule: long non-coding RNA, 1792 nt
Filed under: Pogona vitticeps (central bearded dragon)
Lineage: Eukaryota; Metazoa; Chordata; Lepidosauria; Squamata; Agamidae
Description: lncRNA (ENSPVIG00000011595.1)
Source: RNAcentral